Molecule: ribosomal RNA, 223 nt
Filed under: uncultured bacterium
Lineage: Bacteria
Description: partial 16S ribosomal RNA
Rfam family: Bacterial small subunit ribosomal RNA
Source: RNAcentral
GACGAACGCUGGCGGCGUGCUUAACACAUGCAAGUCGAGCGGUAAGGCCCUUUCGGGGGUACGACGAGCGGCGAACGGGUGAGUAACACGUGGGUGACCUGCCCUCCAGCUCUGGGAUAAGCCUGGGAAACCGGGUCUAAUACUGGAUAUGACUCCAUGACGCAUGUUGUGGGGUGGAAAGCCUUGUGCGGCUGAGGAUGGGCCCGCGGCCUAUCAGCUUGUU